This 460-nucleotide ribosomal RNA is filed under the name uncultured bacterium. Its description in RNAcentral is "partial 16S ribosomal RNA". It matches the Rfam family "Bacterial small subunit ribosomal RNA", at positions 338 to 795 of the family's 1533-position model. The record is from RNAcentral.
CCUACGGGGGGCAGCAGUGAGGAAUAUUGGUCAAUGGACGAGAGUCUGAACCAGCGAAGUAGCGUGAAGGAUGACUGCCCUAUGGGUUGUAAACUUCUUUUAUAUGGGAGUAAAAUGUUCAACGUGUGGGAUUUUGUAUGUACCAUAUGAAUAAGGAUCGGCUAACUCCGUGCCAGCAGCCGCGGUAAGACGGAGGAUCCGAGCGUUAUCCGGAUUUAUUGGGUUUAAAGGGGGCGUAGGUGGAUUGUUAAGUCAGUUGUGAAAGUUUGGGGCUCAACCGGAAAAUUGCAGUUGAAACUGGCAGUCUUGAGUACAGUAGAGGUAGGCGGAAUUCAUGGUGUAGCGGUGAAAGGCUUAGAUAUCACGAAGAACUCCGAUUGCGAAGGCAGCUCACUGGACUGCAACUGACACUGAGGCUCGAAAGUGUGGGUAUCAAACAGGAUUAGAUACCCCUGUAGUC